AACGAACGCUGGCGGCAUGCCUAACACAUGCAAGUCGAACGAGACCUUCGUGUCUUGUCGCACACGGGUGCGUAACGCGUGGGAACCUGCCCUUAAGAUCGGAAUAACUAGCCGAAAGCGAUGCUUAUACCGGAAUACUACUACGGAACAAAGAUUUAUUGCAGAUUGAUGGGCGUGCGUUAGAUUAGCUAGUUGGGAGAGUAAAUUCCUACCAAGGGGACGGUCCAUAGCUGGUCUGAGAGAAUGACCAGCAAGACUUGGACUGAGUCACGGGACAGACUCGUGCGGGAGGAAGCAGUGGGAAUUGUUGAAGGAUGGGGGGUAGGCUGCUGCAGCUAUGUCGGGUGAAUGAUGUAUGCCGUAAGGUAGUAAAGCUCUUUUAGCCAAGAUGAUAAUGACAGUACCGGGAGAAUAAGCUCCGGCUAACUACGUG
This 433-nucleotide ribosomal RNA is filed under the name uncultured bacterium. RNAcentral describes it as "partial 16S ribosomal RNA". It matches the Rfam family "Bacterial small subunit ribosomal RNA", at positions 29 to 507 of the family's 1533-position model. The record is from RNAcentral.